UACGAAGGGGGCUAGCGUUGCUCGGAAUCACUGGGCGUAAAGGGUGCGUAGGCGGGUCUUUAAGUCAGGGGUGAAAUCCUGGAGCUCAACUCCAGAACUGCCUUUGAUACUGAGGAUCUUGAGUUCGGGAGAGGUGAGUGGAACUGCGAGUGUAGAGGUGAAAUUCGUAGAUAUUCGGAAGAACACCAGUGGCGAAGGCGGCUCACUGGUCCGGUACUGACGCUGAGGUGCGAAAGCGUGGGGAGCGAACAGG
RNAcentral lists this ribosomal RNA (253 nucleotides) under uncultured bacterium. Its description in RNAcentral is "partial 16S ribosomal RNA". It matches the Rfam family "Bacterial small subunit ribosomal RNA", at positions 524 to 776 of the family's 1533-position model. The record is from RNAcentral.